Molecule: long non-coding RNA, 297 nt
Organism: Paramormyrops kingsleyae
Lineage: Eukaryota; Metazoa; Chordata; Actinopteri; Osteoglossiformes; Mormyridae
Source: RefSeq, a predicted model, not a curated record
UGGGAAGUUCAGUUUCCACGUUGGUGGCGUGAUUGUGUGGCUGUUUAAGGCAGCGUGGGCAACGGCAUUUUUGCCCGUCAUUAAGCGCACCCAGCUUGUGCCACGUUGGGGGUAUAUCGGUUGCUGUGUGCCUCCUGUUUUGCGAUAUCGGUGUUUAUUGAGGUACGUAGGUCGCUUAUAGCAUUUCUUAAUGUGUUUUUGUUGUCAGUUGUUCCUGUGUUGACGUGUAUGUAGGAUGUAUGACUCAUGACUGCGCCCCAAAUCUACCUACGGGUACAAAUAAAGGAACCUGAACCU